GACGAACGCUGGCGGCGUGCUUAACACAUGCCAGUCGAACGGAAAGGCCCUGCGUUUGUGGGGUGCUCGAGUGGCGAACGGGUGCGUAACACGUGAGUAUCCUGCCCUUGACUUUGGGGUAACUUCAGGAAACUGGGGCUAAUACCGGAUAGGAGCCCCUCCUGCAUGGUGGGGGUUGGAUCGUUUCGGCGGGCGGGGAUGGACUCGCGGCUUAUCAGCUUGUUGGUGGGGUAGUGGCUUACCAAGGCUUUGACGGGUAGCCGGCCUGAGAGGGUGAACGGCCACCUUGGGACUGAGAUACGGCCCAGACUGCUACGGGAGGCAGCAGUGGGGAAUAUUGCACAAUGGGCGGAAGCCUGAUGCAGAAACGCCGCGUGCGGGAUGACGGCCUUCGGGUUGUAAACCGCUUUCGCCUGUGACGAAGCGUGAGUGACGGUAAUGGGUAAAGAAGCACCGGCUAACUACGUG
RNAcentral lists this ribosomal RNA (468 nucleotides) under uncultured bacterium. RNAcentral's name for it is "partial 16S ribosomal RNA". It matches the Rfam family "Bacterial small subunit ribosomal RNA", at positions 28 to 507 of the family's 1533-position model. The record is from RNAcentral.